RNAcentral lists this ribosomal RNA (253 nucleotides) under uncultured bacterium. RNAcentral's name for it is "partial 16S ribosomal RNA". It matches the Rfam family "Bacterial small subunit ribosomal RNA", at positions 524 to 776 of the family's 1533-position model. The record is from RNAcentral.
UACGUAGGGGGCAAGCGUUGUCCGGAAUUACUGGGCGUAAAGCGUGCGCAGGCGGUAAUGUAAGACAGGUGUGAAAUCCCAGGGCUCAACCUUGGAACUGCAUUUGUGACUGCAUUGCUGGAGUGCGGCAGAGGGGGAUGGAAUUCCGCGUGUAGCAGUGAAAUGCGUAGAUAUGCGGAGGAACACCGAUGGCGAAGGCAAUCCCCUGGGCCUGCACUGACGCUCAUGCACGAAAGCGUGGGGAGCAAACAGG